UACGUAGGGGGCUAGCGUUGUCCGGAAUCAUUGGGCGUAAAGCGCGUGUAGGCGGUCCGGUAAGUCCGCUGUGAAAGUCGGGGGCUCAACCCUCGAAUGCCGGUGGAUACUGUCGGGCUAGAGUGCGGAAGAGGCGAGUGGAAUUCCCGGUGUAGCGGUGAAAUGCGCAGAUAUCGGGAGGAACACCAAUGGCGAAGGCAGCUCGCUGGGACGGUACUGACGCUGAGACGCGAAAGCGUGGGGAGCAAACAGG
Molecule: ribosomal RNA, 253 nt
Filed under: uncultured bacterium
Lineage: Bacteria
Description: partial 16S ribosomal RNA
Rfam family: Bacterial small subunit ribosomal RNA
Source: RNAcentral